GGAUCCAAUUAGCUUGAGAAAAAUGUUCACUCUUGCUUAUGUGAAGCUUGGGUAAGGUUGAAAACAAAUAAUUGGAGCUUGAAAUUGUGAAUACUGGAACUUGGAGGAAGCGGAUUAGUUGAGUUUUGAGGGGCUGUCUUGGUUUUGAAUAAAUAGCUUUGGUCGUUACGUGGAAAUCGGCCAAGAUGCAGGUCGAGAGGCAUCUCGUUAGGCGUCUGGACUCUUGAAGCGGAGUGGUUACUGGGAUAUUUUGUUAUGCUAUGAUGUAUAUAUAUGUACUUAGCUUUCUUUCCGCAUGACUUAUUCUUUUUGAUCCUCUUAGAGGUUUAUGGAGAGGCAGGAUUGUGUAUAUGUACUUUUGGGUUUUGGGUUUGUAUGUAUAUAUGUGUAAAUAUGCUCCGGCCAGUCUUGACUUCGCA
Long non-coding RNA from Arachis stenosperma, 419 nucleotides. RefSeq lists it as uncharacterized. The transcript has 3 exons. The record is from RefSeq and is a predicted model, not a curated record. NCBI's taxonomy places the organism in Eukaryota, Viridiplantae, Streptophyta, Magnoliopsida, Fabales, Fabaceae.